Long non-coding RNA from Astatotilapia calliptera (eastern happy), 1341 nucleotides. The record is from Ensembl. NCBI's taxonomy places the organism in Eukaryota, Metazoa, Chordata, Actinopteri, Cichliformes, Cichlidae.
GCACUUUUGUUUUCAGGUUAAAUUCGGGGUUUUUUUUUUAUCUCAUUCAAAAUUUUUAACUUAAAUUCAGUAAUUAUUUCAUUUCAAUGCAUACAUUCAGAUUCAAGCAUUCACACUGCAGUUUCUUCAGAAAAUGCACUUUCUAGUUAGUGUGAAUGCUUGAAAAGCAUUCACAGUAUUGUUAUUCGAAUCUUUAUUAUUAUUAUUAUUAUAUUUUAUCUAUUCCGUACGUUUUUUGUAAGCCUACUCCUUCAAAACCGUUCAACUUAGAAAAACCAUUCAAACACCGUUAGAUUCCUAUUCUUUUGGACAACACUGCUUCUAUUUUUCAUAUUUUUAACAUUUAUAUUUUUAAUUUUAUUCAACUUUAUUCAACAAAAAUUUCCCAAAAUUUCCCAUGUAUUUCAAUGGGGAGACCCUUCAAAUUCUCAUUCAACUUAUUCAUUUUUAAACUCUUACUACUUCCACAUACAUUGACAUAGAGCCACCAUUCAAACUUUAAAACGAAGACAAGACAUUCAACUAUUCAACUUGUAUUUAUCUUUUCAAUAUCUAUUAUACUUUUUCUUCAGUUCCAGUUUAAGUUUCAUGAUGUUUUUUCACCCGUUUCAGAGUUUAUAAUGGGUGUGUAUGGGACGGAAUGUUGGGGCUAGAGUGAGACAGCUCAACUGCUAGAGUGAGAGGAGCAAAAAAAUUAAUCUUAAAAUCUUUUUUAAAACUGCUGCUGUGUCCACAGCGUUUGCUCUACAGGUAUGAUUUUACCCUCAAAACGUAGCCAUGGCUGUCCUCUUUCAUCCAAUGUGUUUACUAUUGUACUAGGUGUUAUGGUUCUUUCAUAAAUGCCACCAAUGCACAGCCUCCUCCCUCCAACUCUUCCAUAGACUCUAAUGUUAAAAUGGCUCAGAAGGUUCGUUUGAAAAUCAGAAGAGCAUGGUGUCUUUCCACUGUCACCACGUCCAUAUAAUAAACUCCACAGACAUGAAAACUGAGAAUUUGGUAGACUAGACAUUGCUGUCGCUCACAGUGAAAGAAUUUUGUCAAUACGACUUUUACUUUUCAUUUGGGAACGAUUUGUUUCGGCCUGACUUUUCUGUUCAUUUUAAGCAGCAAAAUGAGGUGCAUGUCUGUGUACGUGUGUAUGGAGCCAUUGGGUGCGGUCACUAUAGCAACCAGGCUCACACCUGCCUGCUUAACGAGCUCUCUCUGCCACUCUGCCAAAAUUAAUCUUAAACACUUCUCUUUCAACUGCUGCUGUGUCCACAGUGUUAAAGCCAUCAUUUUACCCUCAAAACGUCGCCAUCGUUGUUCUUUUUCCAACAUCUUGUCUUUCAAAGCUCAGAG